RNAcentral lists this ribosomal RNA (301 nucleotides) under uncultured bacterium. RNAcentral describes it as "partial 16S ribosomal RNA". It matches the Rfam family "Bacterial small subunit ribosomal RNA", at positions 509 to 807 of the family's 1533-position model. The record is from RNAcentral.
CAGUCGCCGCGGUAAUACAGAGGGUGCAAGCGUUAAUCGGAUUUACUAGGCGUAAAGGGCGCGUAGGUGGUUAUGUAAGUGAGAUGUGAAAUCCCCGGGCUCAACCUGGGAACUGCAUCUUAUACUGCGUAGCUGGAGUGCAGUAGAGGGUAGUGGAAUUUCCGGCGUAGCGGUGAAAUGCGUAGAUAUCGGAAGGAACACCAGUGGCGAAGGCGGCUACCUGGACUGACACUGACACUGAGGCGCGAAAGCGUGGGGAGCAAACAGGAUUAGAUACCCCAGUAGUCCCUGUCUCUUAUAC